This 198-nucleotide non-coding RNA is filed under the name Desulfarculus baarsii. The record is from RNAcentral. Lineage: Bacteria; Pseudomonadati; Thermodesulfobacteriota; Desulfarculia; Desulfarculales; Desulfarculaceae.
UGCUAGACCAAGUCUGUUGGUGCCCUUAGGGGCUUGAAAGGGAAGCCGGUGAGAAUCCGGCGCGGGCCCGCCGCUGUAACCGGGAACGAAAACCGCGGGCGUCCAUUGGGGACGCCAGCCACUGCGCCAAGGCGCGGGAAGGCGCGGCAAGUAGGUCGAUCCGGGAGCCAGAAGACCUGCCAACCAAACAUAUUUUGG